RNAcentral lists this long non-coding RNA (1325 nucleotides) under Homo sapiens (human). RNAcentral describes it as "long intergenic non-protein coding RNA 534". The record is from RNAcentral. Lineage: Eukaryota; Metazoa; Chordata; Mammalia; Primates; Hominidae.
AGUUCUUUGGGAGCACCCUGGGAAACAGUGUGGCUAUGACUUGGAGCUGCUCACCAGUUCCAGUCAUUCUGUGGUUGAGAGCUGCUCCCUAUGGAUGUUAAUUCUUCUCUAUUUUAGAUUUUCCACAGGUGUGGGCCCCAUUAGCUCUGGCCACCUGAGAAAGCCCUCAGGCAAAGAGUCGCAGGUGAAAGCCAGCAGUUAGAGGUUCACAGAAAUGAGUGCAGAAGCAUCUUCAGUUGGAGAGCCAUUGCCUCUUGCUGUGAAAUAUUUGGGAAUCUUCAGAAACCAUGAAGAAUAACCUGCUAAAGGCAUCUCUAUUUUCCACAAAGCAAUAUUGAAGUUAGGCCAAUUAAUAACCCUACAAUGGCUUCUAAGUGUUUGAGGGAAAGGAAGAGUUUCAUGUCUCUCACUUGGAAUCAAAAGCUAGAAAUGAUGAAGCUUAGAGAGAAAGGCAUGUCAAAAGCCACCAUGAGCUGAAACCUGGGUCUUUUGUGCCUAACAGCCAAGUUGUGAAUGCAAAGGAAAGGUUCUUGGGAGAAAUUGAAAAUGUUAUUUGUGUGUUCACAAAUGAUAAGAAUGAGAGCAAAACAACCUUAUUUCUGAUAUGGAGAAAGUCCACGUGAUCAGGAUAGAAGGUCAAACCAGCCAUAACAUUCACUUAAGCCAAAGUCUAAUCCAGGGCAAGAACCUAACUCUUUAAGUCUGUGAAGAGUGAGAGAGGUGAGGAAGCUGCAAAGAAAAGUUUAAAGCUAGCAGAGCUUGGUUCAUGAGGUUUAAGGAAAAAAGCCAUCUCCAUAACAUAAAAGUGCAAGGUUAGGCCAUAAGUGCUGAUAGGGAAGUUGCAGUAAGUUAUCCAGAAGAUCUACCUACAAUCAUUAAUGAACAUGACUAUGCUAAACAAUAGAUUUUUUAUGUAGAUGAAACAGCCUUAUCCUGUAUUAGAAGAAGAAGCCAUAUAAAACUCCCAUAGCGAGUCAGGUGCGUUGGAUCACACCUAUAAUCCCAGCACUUUGGGAGGCUAAGGCAGGAGGAUCACUUGAGCCCAGGAGUUGAGGACCAGUCUGGGCAACAUGGCAAAACCCAGUCUCUACCAAAAAUAUAAAAAUUAGCCAGGUGUAGGGGCAUGUGCCUGUAAUCCCAGCUACUUGAGACUUGCGAGGCUGAGGUAGGAGACUCGCUUGAACCCAGGAGAUCAAGGCUACAGUGAGCCAUGAUCAUGCCACUGCUUUCCAGCCUGGGUGGAAGAGCAAGACUGUCUCAAAAAAAGAACAACAACAACAACAAACCCCCCCAAAACAAAAAGCUCUCAUAGCUAAAGAGGAAAA